This 253-nucleotide ribosomal RNA is filed under the name uncultured bacterium. RNAcentral describes it as "partial 16S ribosomal RNA". It matches the Rfam family "Archaeal small subunit ribosomal RNA", at positions 474 to 727 of the family's 1478-position model. The record is from RNAcentral.
UACCAGCACCCCGAGUGGUCGGGACGAUUAUUGGGCCUAAAGCAUCCGUAGCCGGUUCUACAAGUCUUCCGUUAAAUCCACCUGCUUAACAGAUGGGCUGCGGAGGAUACUAUAGAGCUAGGAGGCGGGAGAGGCAAGCGGUACUUAGUGGGUAGGGGUAAAAUCCGUUGAUCCAUUGAAGACCACCAGUGGCGAAGGCGGCUUGCCAGAACGCACUCGACGAUGAGGGAUGAAAGCUGGGGGAGCAAACCGG